This 493-nucleotide ribosomal RNA is filed under the name Enterococcus faecalis. RNAcentral describes it as "bacterial SSU rRNA". It matches the Rfam family "Bacterial small subunit ribosomal RNA", at positions 1 to 479 of the family's 1533-position model. Lineage: Bacteria; Bacillati; Bacillota; Bacilli; Lactobacillales; Enterococcaceae. The record is from RNAcentral.
AUGAGAGUUUGAUCCUGGCUCAGGACGAACGCUGGCGGCGUGCCUAAUACAUGCAAGUCGAACGCUUCUUUCCUCCCGAGUGCUUGCACUCAAUUGGAAAGAGGAGUGGCGGACGGGUGAGUAACACGUGGGUAACCUACCCAUCAGAGGGGGAUAACACUUGGAAACAGGUGCUAAUACCGCAUAACAGUUUAUGCCGCAUGGCAUAAGAGUGAAAGGCGCUUUCGGGUGUCGCUGAUGGAUGGACCCGCGGUGCAUUAGCUAGUUGGUGAGGUAACGGCUCACCAAGGCCACGAUGCAUAGCCGACCUGAGAGGGUGAUCGGCCACACUGGGACUGAGACACGGCCCAGACUCCUACGGGAGGCAGCAGUAGGGAAUCUUCGGCAAUGGACGAAAGUCUGACCGAGCAACGCCGCGUGAGUGAAGAAGGUUUUCGGAUCGUAAAACUCUGUUGUUAGAGAAGAACAAGGACGUUAGUAACUGAACGUCCCC